This 27-nucleotide small RNA is filed under the name Bombyx mori (domestic silkworm). RNAcentral describes it as "ovarian small RNA-22448". The record is from RNAcentral. Lineage: Eukaryota; Metazoa; Arthropoda; Insecta; Lepidoptera; Bombycidae.
UAGCGUAGAUCGUCAAUAUAUGCAGGU